UACGUAGGGUGCAAGCGUUGUCCGGAAUUAUUGGGCGUAAAGAGCUCGUAGGCGGUUUGUCGCGUCUGCUGUGAAAACCCGGGGCUCAACCCCGGGCCUGCAGUCGAUACGGGCAGACUAGAGUGCGGUAGGGGAGACUGGAAUUCCUGGUGUAGCGGUGAAAUGCGCAGAUAUCAGGAGGAACACCGGUGGCGAAGGCGGGUCUCUGGGCCGUAACUGACGCUGAGGAGCGAAAGCCAGGGGAGCAAACGGG
This 253-nucleotide ribosomal RNA is filed under the name uncultured bacterium. Its description in RNAcentral is "partial 16S ribosomal RNA". It matches the Rfam family "Bacterial small subunit ribosomal RNA", at positions 524 to 776 of the family's 1533-position model. The record is from RNAcentral.